AAUAACGACAGGAAGUAACUCAACCAUUGAUCUUAUCAUUGAACAGAUUUUAUAAGGGCAAAGAAAAUUGGUUUAAACUGCUAAACAAAAAAAAUUCAAAAUGAAAUUGAUUUUGUAAGGUCUGCUUCCAUAGCUUGAAUAGAUACCGCAUCGGAGAAUUCAAUUUUAUUCUUAAGUUUUAAAUUAUCUGAAAGUUUUCAGAACUCAGUGGAAAUAUUUACUCUUAAAACACUGAGUACGGAAGUAUUCAAAAUGUCUGGAUAUUUCGUACAAGCGAACAAUUAGCAAUGAGACUGCCACAAUUACAUGGGUAAUACCUGGUAUUGUCUACUGUGGCAGAUGACGGUAUCAUUGCGAUUUUUCUGUUGGUUAGUAGUAGCCGGUACUAGAAAGAAUAAAUGUGGAUUAUGGAGAUAAAAAUAAUAGUAAGUAGGAGUUGCCUUUUAUUUCAACCGCUUUACUUGUAUUCAAAGGCUAUCGAAUCAUUUGAAUUCAUUGCUCCAUGUAUUGGAUACUAUUGUCUGCUAUGACAUAUCCUCGCCCACAUCUCUGUAGAAUAAUGAAUCUGUAGAAGCUCUAGACACGAAUUCUAUCAACAAUUAUAUAGAUGGCUUGGAAGAUGUUUUUUCAACGAUUCCAAAGAGAUUGGUAAGUUGCAAGAAUUUUUAUUAAAAUGAAUAUAGUUUAUAUUCUUUUGCUUAUUAAAUAACCUAUUUUACGAAUAUAUUUUAUUAAGCGUUUGCUUAGAAUAGGUGUAGAUCUGACAUUUUUCUGACUAAAAGCGUACCAUUCGCCACCAUAAGCGAAACCGCUCUUUCGGUUCCACAUAUUCUGAAAUGUCCAAUUACGAUGGAUGCUGUGAAAUACUCGGAGACAACAUCGAAAUAUUAAAAUCCAAGUAUAAUCUGCUCUCUUAAUUAUAAUACUAAAAUUUCAAAUAUGAAAUUUUCUAAUAGUUUUAUUUAUUCUUCUAGAAGAUCCAUUUCUAGUAAGCUGCAAGGAGUCAGACUAUAAGUACUUGUAAACAUCUAUCAAAACAAAAGCGGAAUUUCCAGCUAUAUCUCAAUAUAAAAUUCGACGAAAUUUUGAGCAUCUGCCAUUCUGAGAUCACUUCCUGUAUAUGGAAGGGCUGAAAAAAUCAGUCGCCUGAGAAUGGACAUAGCAAGCGACAGCCUUCUGCAAAUCGAUGUUGCCACGCUCUCAAACUUCUUAGGAUGUUGAAACAGAAGAGAUACCCAGAAUGAAAAGCGAAUGUUCUUCAAACUAAACGUGGUUUGUUACUAUAUGAUGGCUUCUUUUUGGAAAGCAGCUGCUAUUCAAAAUAAGAAUCGGUAAAAUGGAAGCGCCUGCCAUUCCGAGAUCAACUUCUGCAAAUAGAGGCUGAAGAAAUUGAUCUUCUGAAAAGGGAGCCAACUUGCGACAGUUUUUUCAAAUCGUCCUCCACAUUCAGAAAAUAUUACCCUACCAAGAUCCUUCUAAAUUAUUGAAAUGGAACAAGUAAUGCUUCCAGCGAUAAUGAAACAAACCAUAAUUACCCGUGAACAACUAUCAAAACAGGAGCUUCAUUUCCAGCUAUUUAUCAAAAUAAGUAUGACUUGGAAAGUGUUGCCUCAAUGAUGCCGAAGCGAUAUCGUAAAGUUGCAAGAAUUUUGAUAAUUGUCAUACCAUAAUGAGUGUCUGUUAAGAACAAGCUUUCAUCGAAGUGAGCAUGGCACAACAAAUAACUUCUGGACCCUUCCUCAAACCUAUAUUGGAAUGCUAAUGCUGGCAAUUGAAUUAUGGACAAUGACUCAAUAUAUCUAUUUCAGCUUGUAAACUGUAGAGGUUGAAGAACUUGAAUAUUAACAAAUGGUUAACAUGAGCAAUGUACACAGUAGAAAUUGAAAUUUCCUCUUGUCUGCAUUAUUUUUGGAAGUAAAUAUAUAUUUGAAAUGUUUGCCACAAAAAUCUCAUUGAAAUAGCAAACGAUUUGAUAAGUCCUUUUUAAGGAUUACAGAAUAUUUACGUUUUUUGGAAUAUGCAAAAAAUCCUUUGUUUCAAACCUGACAAGUUCGAUAUGUUUUCUUAUCGCCCUUGCAUGGAAUUCAAAACACGGGUAUUUGUUGUGUCUGUCAAUGUUUAAUUUCCAAAUGGAUCUUCGCAACUUUUUAUCCGGAUAAUUCUGAUUAUAACUGAAGCAAUAAACUAUUGAUGCUUAUUGAGUUCUUUGAUGCGCAAUGCUAUGCAUUUUUACUUACAUAAACGAUGUUUUAGAAUACAAUCUAGAUCGAAAAAACAAUAUUUUAGAUCUAUUCACCU
This is a long non-coding RNA of Argiope bruennichi, 2298 nucleotides long. RefSeq lists it as uncharacterized. NCBI's taxonomy places the organism in Eukaryota, Metazoa, Arthropoda, Arachnida, Araneae, Araneidae. The record is from RefSeq and is a predicted model, not a curated record. The transcript is spliced from 4 exons.